AAACAAACGUUGAAGAGGUAAAGUAGUUAUAUGUCUGGACUUCUACAGAGAGCCGUGAUUGCUGGAAAGCGGUGUUGUCACAUAUGAUGAAAGUCCCCUCGGAGUGUCGAUCUGAACGUAAGCGUAGUCUACUAGGAUUGACCGGGUGUACACAGCACUCGUUAUUAAAAUGAGAUGAACGAUUUGUUCAUCCGUAAGAUCAAGGAAACUUGAUGAACAAGGGUGGUACCGUGGAAAGAUAAAUCUUUUCGCCCCUUCA
This 259-nucleotide non-coding RNA is filed under the name Alkalihalobacillus alcalophilus. RNAcentral's name for it is "Bacillus alcalophilus T-box sequence". It matches the Rfam family "T-box leader". Rfam says of the family: Uncharged tRNA acts as the effector for transcription antitermination of genes in the T-box leader family. T-boxes are found upstream of many aminoacyl-tRNA synthetase genes and some amino acid biosynthetic genes usually in Gram-positive bacteria. The record is from RNAcentral. Lineage: Bacteria; Bacillati; Bacillota; Bacilli; Caryophanales; Bacillaceae.